Molecule: ribosomal RNA, 252 nt
Filed under: uncultured bacterium
Lineage: Bacteria
Description: partial 16S ribosomal RNA
Rfam family: Bacterial small subunit ribosomal RNA
Source: RNAcentral
UACGUAGGUCCCGAGCGUUGUCCGGAUUUAUUGGGCGUAAAGCGAGCGCAGGUGGUUUAUUAAGUCUGGUGUAAAAGGCAGUGGCUCAACCAUUGUAUGCAUUGGAAACUGGUAGACUUGAGUGCAGGAGAGGAGAGUGGAAUUCCAUGUGUAGCGGUGAAAUGCGUAGAUAUAUGGAGGAGCACCGGUGGCGAAAGCGGCUCUCUGGCCUGUAACUGACACUGAGGCUCAAAAGCGUGGGGAGCAAACAGG